Molecule: long non-coding RNA, 1561 nt
Organism: Clupea harengus (Atlantic herring)
Lineage: Eukaryota; Metazoa; Chordata; Actinopteri; Clupeiformes; Clupeidae
Source: RefSeq, a predicted model, not a curated record
UAAAAAGAGGUGAGGAAACUGGGGAAGCAACUGGCACGGGUAGAUCAGUCGCAUGCAGUCUUCAGCCUACAUAGGCAACACAUGCAGAACCGCCUUUAUGCUCUUAAAAACCUCCGCACGGAUGUAAAGGUCGUGUAAACAGGGUCUGGGGUUUAAAGCGCUCCUGCACACAGAACACAAUGGUAAUUGACGUUACAGUUUAUGACCACAUUCCUGGCUGGUUGGAUGGAAACCAAUACAUAAGCCUCAUAAAUAAUGGACAAGUAUAAAUGCAUAUGGCAAGAAAAUUAAAGGUUCUCUGUCUUAUGCCUCUGACAGAGCUGACCCUGCACCGUCUAUAAGAAUAAUCUUCAAGGACUUGGUGAGACGUGCCAUUUUCAUCCAGUCAUGGCUACAGCACCUGUCUACUGCAACAAUCAAAAUGGUGGAGAUCUGAUGAUUAAGUUUUCAAAGUAGAUCUGGGAAGAUAGAUCUGAAAAUACUCUGGCUCGUGGUUUGCACACAGAGGAGUACGAUUCCAAAAACCUACCACUACCAGUUCCAUUUAAGAUCCUAACAUUUUAUGAGUGAAUUUUCCAGGUUUACAUUCAGCUAUUAAUAGAAGGCUGACAUUUGCGCACCCUCUUUGAGAGCGAUGGGCAUACUCCACUCUGGUGUGUACCACUUUCUCUAAUCACCAAGGACACACUUCCCUCCGGGGGAAUGAUUAGCUCUCUGGUCAUGCAAUAUAAAGCAACUUUGAUAAGCAAUUAAAUUAUUCCCAUUGCCUCGGCCUCUUCUCUUCCUUUCUUUUCUUUGUCUUUUGCAUCAGUUUCUUUGAAACUCACUGACUUGAGGGUUAUUUGAGUGGCUAAACAGUGGUCACACACCAGCCUAAUACAAUAUUAGUUUUGUUUAGUUGUAGUUUAGUUUAGGUUUAGUUUUGUUUUUGUUUUAACGUCCUAUUUGAGGAUAAAAACGGUUACCUCCAUGUUUCUUGUGUACUGCAAACAAUAUGGCCAUUUAGGUGUAAAAACAGUGUCCGAAGAAAUGUUGGACAUAUGGAUAUAAACUUCAUAUGUAGUCGAUAUGGCUUUUGUGUGCCUUUUUGCUGCUUGUAGGGAUGAAAAGUGAACUACAACUAUUCUAAUUACAGUACCAGAGUAACUACUCAGCAUGAAUGUACUUUUUGAGUUUUUUUUUUUAAGUUUGAACUGUUACCUCUAAUUAAAUACACUUAACAUUAAGUACUAUCCUUCUCUAUUUCUACAUUGCCAUCCAUUACAGAGUACAACUCUAAUGAUAUAUAUUUAUUAUCUGGUCUUCAUAGCUUUUCUCUGCUAAAAGUCUGCCUUGACCAGAGCUGUCUAUUGAUUAGUGGUCUGGGUCUAAUCACCUGGACAGAGAAUGGCAGAAAUAACACACAGAAUAAUAUAAUAGCAGAGUUCAGUGUGUAGAUAAGCACAGAGGGUAUCCAGCAUACAUCAGAUAGAAGCUAUAAAGUUUAACAUAAUUGGACAGGACAAUCACCUGUGGCUGUUAUGAAAGUAUGAUAAUGUAGAAAAUGAUUAAGAUACAGUGA